This is a long non-coding RNA of Tupaia belangeri chinensis (Chinese tree shrew), 1845 nucleotides long. RefSeq lists it as uncharacterized. NCBI's taxonomy places the organism in Eukaryota, Metazoa, Chordata, Mammalia, Scandentia, Tupaiidae. The transcript is spliced from 4 exons. The record is from RefSeq and is a predicted model, not a curated record.
GUCAAACCAAUGUCAAGAGGAAGGCAAGGAAGCUGAACAUCCGAAUAUCUCUUAUAAGUUCUGACUUCUCAAUGAAGACUCAGCUGAUACUGAUAAUGAUUUCCUUCUUCAUGGCGGACUGUCUACUCACAGAUUCUAGGCAAUGAAGAUCAAUUGCUGCUAAACCAUUACUUGAAAGUUGAUGGAAACAGUAUAAUGGAGGAAUCAGAUUGACAUCACUUGAACCCACCGAUCAAUUGUGACAUUGCUAAAUAAACCCAAGUGACAGGAGAGUGUUGGGAGUUUGAAUGCUGAGAGAGCACAAGCAAAGGAAGAGAAACUUCUAAGAAUUCUAGGAGCUACUUGUGGUAGAAUAAAAAAUGAGAGACCUUGGAAAAGGGUAAGUGAAUAUGUAAACCUUCAACAAGUUUGGCUAAGAAGGGAAGAUAAAGUAAUACCUUGCAGGACAGUAGGAUCAAAGGUUUUUAGGUUGAUUUUAAAAAGCAGGAGACUUGAUAACAUUUAAUUAUUGAUUGGAAGGAAGCAGAAAGAAUAGAUCAGUAUCCUAUACAGACAAAUGCAUGCACAAGUUUCCUUUGAAGGACACAGGAUCCAGUACACAGGUAGAAACAAAUCUUUCCCGCUAUAAUAGGAAGAAGAAAAUGACCAGUUUCUGCAGGUACAUAUAGCUCUGCAAAUUUUAUAGCAGAGAGCUGGGGUUUUUUGCCCUAGUGAUUCUAUUUUCGCCAUAAAAUAUAUAGCAAUAUUAUCUGCUAAAAGUAAAUAAAAAGAACAAAAAAGGAACCUGGAACUUUGGAGAGAAGGUCUGAAAUAGUUAAUACAGAGAGAAGGUAAGUACACUGAAUGGAAAAGCACAGGAGCUUUACCAGACAGUGAUGAAGCACAGAGGAGGCUCAUAACUGUGAUGUUCCAAUGCUUCCCAUAUGCCCAGUUGUGUUACUUUCCUCAGCACCGUUCUGCAGCCCAGGGGAUGACAGUUGGAUUCAUCUAGGACUGCAGUGUCUGCCAGUGAAUUCAAUAAAAUGACUAAGGGACACGGAGGUGUGGAAUAUUAGCAGGCCUGACUGAAAAAGUGAAUAGGAAACUGUUGACAGAGCUCCGAGCUGAUGUGUGUGUGUGUGUGUGUGUGCAUGGUGUGGGGGGAGGGGAAUGGGAAAACAGCAGACGUAAAGUCUUAUUCACAGCUCAAGUUCAAGACUGAUAAAUGGCCUUCAAGAGUACCUGAGAAAGGAAUAUAAAAGUCCCUCAAUAGUUUGUGAAUUCACUGACACAGUAACAUAAUAUGGCAGCUACACUAAAGCGUAACUUCCCCAAUGAAACAAACUUGACUCCAAAAUUAUCUCAAGGAGGCGUCACCAAACUAAGACAAAACAUCACUCUCAGGAAGACCUAGAAACACUUAAAAAUUGGUUGCUAAAGAAAAUGAUUUAAAAGUUUAGGUAGCUCUGAAUCCCCCACCAAACGCUUGGUCUCUGCAUUGUUACUUGGAAAUGCUAGUAUUAUUGGAAGUAGAAACACAAAUUGAAAAAAAAAGGGAGAAAGAAAGGAAAGGAGAGGAGAGGGUGAAUUGUAAUAAGUGAAGAUCAAAUAAUAGGGUGUGAAUACUGUAUGUGGAGUACAAAGAGAGAAAUAAGUUCUGAGGAGAGGAUCAAACUGUUAUAAAAUCAAAUGAAAAAUGCAAGUUAACAGUACUUUAACCAUUGUAAGUUUUAUAUAAACACAGAUGAAAAUUGUGGGGGCAUGUAUGCAUUUUUCCAUGGUGUUAUUCUUUAAUAAGAGUAUUUACUACACUAAAUACUAUAUAAAAUAAAGAUUCAUCUCAAGAUUUUAAAUAAGCUUAAACAA